Molecule: ribosomal RNA, 404 nt
Filed under: uncultured bacterium
Lineage: Bacteria
Description: bacterial SSU rRNA
Rfam family: Bacterial small subunit ribosomal RNA
Source: RNAcentral
UGGGGAAUAUUGGACAAUGGGCGCAAGCCUGAUCCAGCCAUGCCGCGUGAGUGAUGAAGGCCUUAGGGUUGUAAAGCUCUUUUACCUGGGAAGAUAAUGACGGUACCAGGAGAAUAAGCCCCGGCUAACUUCGUGCCAGCAGCCGCGGUAAUACGAAGGGGGCUAGCGUUGUUCGGAAUCACUGGGCGUAAAGCGCACGUAGGCGGAUCUUUAGGUCAGGGGUGAAAUCCCGAGGCUCAACCUCGGAACUGCCUUUGAUACUGGGGAUCUCGAGCCCGGGAGAGGUGAGUGGAACUGCGAGUGUAGAGGUGAAAUUCGUAGAUAUUCGCAAGAACACCAGUGGCGAAGACGGCUCACUGGCCCGGUACUGACGCUGAGGUGCGAAAGCGUGGGGAGCAAACAGG